GGGGACGACAGGCUUCGACGUGGUCGGCUCGUGGGGGUGGUGGCGAGUCGAGGUCCCGGGCGGCCUCGUAAAACACCCGGGAAAACAAUAAGUGCGGACUCUCACGAGUACGCCCUCGCCGCUUAGUCAAUAGCUAAGCCGUGAGGUCUCGGGCCCCGCUCGCCUGCGGCGGGGAAGGCCGGGAUCAGAAAGCAGGCUCACCCGGUGCGGUCCGCCUCCGCCAAGCCGGGGAAGCUCAAGGAGGCUGGUCCCCUGCAACCCCGCCGGCGAGGCGAGCAGGGGACGAGAUCAGAGCGCCGGAUACGCUCGUAGAUGCCACUCUCACGCGAUCACGGACGUGGGUUCGAUUCCCACCGUCUCCAUAA
This 365-nucleotide transfer-messenger RNA is filed under the name Solirubrobacteraceae. RNAcentral's name for it is "g Palsa-744 X1 Standard tmRNA". It matches the Rfam family "transfer-messenger RNA". From Rfam's summary of the family: Bacterial tmRNA, also known as 10Sa RNA or SsrA, is named for its dual tRNA and mRNA-like properties. The record is from RNAcentral. Lineage: Bacteria; Bacillati; Actinomycetota; Thermoleophilia; Solirubrobacterales. RNAcentral also lists the same sequence under 1 other name.